Molecule: ribosomal RNA, 1092 nt
Filed under: Triticum aestivum (bread wheat)
Lineage: Eukaryota; Viridiplantae; Streptophyta; Magnoliopsida; Poales; Poaceae
Description: partial small subunit ribosomal RNA
Source: RNAcentral
AUGGAAGUCUUUUAUACAGAGUUUAAGUUGGAGGACCAUGAGUGGUUCGCCAAAAGGUUUCAGCUUCGUGCGACAUGGAUACCAGCAUAUUUCAUGGAUAUUCCCUUAGCUGGUCUUCUUAGGACAACUUCAAUUUCAGAGAGUGCAAAUUCGUUCUUUAAGCGUUUCAUAUGUCGGAAGCUCACUUUUGUUGAGUUUUGGCUAAGGUUUGACACUGCGUUGAAAUGUCAGAGGCAGAAUGAGUUGAUUGCCGAUAACACAAGCGAGUACACAACAAGUGAAUUGUUGACAUCAUGGGAGAUAGAGAAACAAGGCAGGGAGGUAUUCACACAUGAGAUUUUUGAAUUGUUUCAGGCUCAGGUGCUUGCUGCAAGGGAUGAUUGUGAUGUUCAAAACACAACAAAUGGUGAGGGUAUUAAAGUAAUGUCUGUUAGCGACCAAUACAACAAGAUUAGAGAAGUGUGUUAUGAUACAACAACCAUGGUUGCUAAGUGUUCUUGCAAGCUUUUCGAGUCCAAAGGAAUUGUGUGCCGCCACAUUAUCCGAGUACUGAGGGGUGCAAAAAUAAAUGAAUUACCUAGCCUUUAUGUUCUCAAGCGGUGGGAGAAAAAUUGCAAAAGGGACAUUAUGUUUGAUGGGGAAGGAAACAUACUUGAAGGGAAUUUCAUUGACCCAGUUGACAUGGCUUUGAGAAGAAAGAUAUCUGCUGUCAGGAAUAAGCUAGAAGAUCUCAUACGGACUGCUAAGUGCUCCAUGGAAGGAGUUGAAUUUCUCCACACCAGCUUGUGCAAGGCUGAGUUGGGUUUGAGGCAGCUAGUACCGGUCGUACCAUGCGAUACGCAAGAAAAUGAGGAGUCAUUUAUUGGUAGCAUCAUUCCAAAGGAUGUCACCAUCCUCACACCUAUUGAUAUCAAUGCAAGGGGCACAUGCUCUAGAAUAAAGGGGCACAGGGAUGGUGUGAGGGGUGGAUCUGGUGACAAGAAAAGAAGGCCAGGAAUUCAUCAAAAAGUCGCACGCAAAUGUAGCAUUUGUAAGAAAGUGGUAUUCCAUGAUGCAAGGACAUGCUCUAUGAAAAAUAUUACACAAGAGUAG